Molecule: ribosomal RNA, 330 nt
Filed under: Triticum aestivum (bread wheat)
Lineage: Eukaryota; Viridiplantae; Streptophyta; Magnoliopsida; Poales; Poaceae
Description: partial small subunit ribosomal RNA
Source: RNAcentral
AUGUACUCCAGAAACAGAGACAGAAGCAGAAAGUUGUUGGGCAAACAGAUCAUCCAAGGAUGGAUAAGCAAGCCUCUUGUCACGGGGCAGAGCAGAUGCAUGUACCAUGUGUCUCCAAUUUGCUACUCAUGUACGUAUAUCCAUAUAUUAUCCAAAAAGACACUCCAGGCGUAUACACAGCAGAGGGGAGAGGACGAGCUCAUCGAAUUGGAUACUCUAAAACUCCAAUUUUCUGCAGCAAACGGGAGACCCCGGCCUGUGAAUUAUUUGGGGAAUUUCUUUCCUACAAUGUUGCUAUGGCACGGGGAAUUUCCCUCCUAUGCUCAUUAA